CCUACGGGUGGCAGCAGUAGGGAAUCUUCCACAAUGGACGAAAGUCUGAUGGAGCAACGCCGCGUGAGGGAAGAAGGGUUUCGGCUCGUAAAGCUCUGUUGGUAGGGAAGAAAGAUAGAGGUAGUAACUGGCCUUUAUUUGACGGUAAUUACUUAGAAAGUCACGGCUAAAUACGUGCCAGCAGCCGCGGUAAUAAGUAGGUGGCAAGCGUUGUCCGGAUUUGUUGGGCGUAAAGCGAGUGCAGGCGGUUCAAUAAGUCUGAUGUUAAAGCCUUCGGCUCAACCGGAGAAUUGCAUCUGAAACUGUUGAACUUGAGUGCAGGAGAGGAGAGUGGAACUCCAUGUGUAGCGGUGGAAUGCGUAGAUAUAUGGAAGAACACCAGUGGCGAAGGCGGCUCUCUGGUCUCCAACUGACGCUGAGGCUCGAAAGCGUGGGUAGCGAACAGGAUUAGAUACCCUAGUAGUC
Molecule: ribosomal RNA, 465 nt
Filed under: uncultured bacterium
Lineage: Bacteria
Description: partial 16S ribosomal RNA
Rfam family: Bacterial small subunit ribosomal RNA
Source: RNAcentral